UAGGGACCAAGCGUUGUUCGGAUUUACUGGGCGUAAAGGGCGCGUAGGCGGCGUGUUAAGUCAGCUGUGAAAUCUCCGAGCUUAACUCGGAACGGUCAGCUGAUACUGAUGUGCUAGAGUGCAGAAGGGGCAAUCGGAAUUCUUGGUGUAGCGGUGAAAUGCGUAGAUAUCAAGAGGAACACCUGAGGUGAAGACGGGUUGCUGGGCUGACACUGACGCUGAGGCGCGAAAGCCAGGGGAGCAAACGGG
Molecule: ribosomal RNA, 249 nt
Filed under: uncultured bacterium
Lineage: Bacteria
Description: partial 16S ribosomal RNA
Rfam family: Bacterial small subunit ribosomal RNA
Source: RNAcentral